CCGUAUAGGGGAGCCGUAGAGAAAUCGAGUCUUAAUAGGGCGUUUAGUUGCUGGGUAUAGACCCGAAACCAGGCGAUCUAUCCAUGAGCAGGUUGAAGGUUGGGUAACACUAACUGGAGGACCGAACCCACUGUCGUUGAAAAGCCAGGGGAUGACUUGUGGAUAGGGGUGAAAGGCUAAUCAAGCCUGGUGAUAGCUGGUUCUCCCCGAAAGCUAUUUAGGUAGCGCCUCGGACGAAUACCAUAGGGGGUAGAGCACUGUUUCGGCUAGGGGGUCAUCCCGACUUACCAAACCGAUGCAAACUCCGAAUACCUAUGAGUACUAUCCGGGAGACAGACUGCGGGUGCUAACGUCCGUAGUCAAGAGGAAAACAAUCCAGACCGCCAGCUAAGGCCCCAAAAUCAUAGUUAAGUGGGAAACGAUGUGGGAAGGCAUAGACAGCUAGGAGGUUGGCUUAGAAGCAGCCACCCUUUAAAGAAAGCGUAAUAGCUCACUAGUCGAGUCGGCCUGCGCGGAAGAUGUAACGGGGCUAAAACUAUGUGCCGAAGCUGCGGAUGUAUACUUUGUAUACGUGGUAGGGGAGCGUUCUGUAAGCCGAUGAAGGUGUGUUGAGAAGCAUGCUGGAGGUAUCAGAAGUGCGAAUGCUGACGUGAGUAACGACAAAACGGGUGAAAAACCCGUUCGCCGAAAGACCAAGGGUUCCAGUCCAACGUUAAUCGGGGCUGGGUGAGUCGACCCCUAAGGCGAGGCCGAAAGGCGUAGUCGAUGGGAAAAUGGUUAAUAUUCCAUUACUUCUGUGUAAUGCGAUGAGAGGACGGAGAAGGCUAAAUCAGCCUGGCGUUGGUUGUCCAGGUGAAAGGAUGUAGGCAUGUAUCUUAGGCAAAUCCGGGGUACUCUAUGCUGAGAUCUGAUAGCAAGCUGUACUUGUACAGCGAAGUGGUUGAUGCCAUGCUUCCAGGAAAAGUCUCUAAGCUUCAGUUACACAGGAAUCGUACCCGAAACCGACACAGGUGGUCAGGUCGAGUAGACCAAGGCGCUUGAGAGAACUCUGCUGAAGGAACUAGGCAAAAUGGUACCGUAACUUCGGGAGAAGGUACGCUGUUGUUGGUGAUGGAACUGCUUCCUGAGCUGACGACAGCCGCAGAAACCAGGCCGCUGCAACUGUUUAUUAAAAACAUAGCACUCUGCAAACACGAAAGUGGACGUAUAGGGUGUGAUGCCUGCCCGGUGCUGGAAGGUUAAUUGAUGGGGUUAGCGUAAGCGAAGCUCUUGAUCGAAGCCCCAGUAAACGGCGGCCGUAACUAUAACGGUCCUAAGGUAGCGAAAUUCCUUGUCGGGUAAGUUCCGACCUGCACGAAUGGCAUAAUGAUGGCGGCGCUGUCUCCAGCAGAGGCUCAGUGAAAUCGAAAUCGCUGUGAAGAUGCAGUGUACCCGCGGCUAGACGGAAAGACCCCGUGAACCUUUACUGCAGCUUGACACUGAACUUUGACCUUACUUGUGUAGGAUAGGUGGGAGGCUUUGAAGCUGGAACGCUAGUUCCAGUGGAGCCGUCCUUGAAAUACCACCCUGGUAAUGUUGAGGUUCUAACUCUGUCCCGUGAUCCGGGACGAGGACCGUGUCUGGUGGGUAGUUUGACUGGGGCGGUCUCCUCCUAAAGAGUAACGGAGGAGUACGAAGGUGCGCUCAGCGUGGUCGGAAAUCACGCGUAGAGUAUAAAGGCAAAAGCGCGCUUAACUGCGAGACCCACAAGUCGAGCAGGUACGAAAGUAGGUCUUAGUGAUCCGGUGGUUCUGUAUGGAAGGGCCAUCGCUCAACGGAUAAAAGGUACUCUGGGGAUAACAGGCUGAUACCGCCCAAGAGUUCAUAUCGACGGCGGUGUUUGGCACCUCGAUGUCGGCUCAUCUCAUCCUGGGGCUGAAGCAGGUCCCAAGGGUAUGGCUGUUCGCCAUUUAAAGAGGUACGCGAGCUGGGUUUAGAACGUCGUGAGACAGUUCGGUCCCUAUCUACCGUGGGCGCUGGAAAUUUGAGAGGAUCUGCUCCUAGUACGAGAGGACCAGAGUGGACGAACCUCUGGUGUACCGGUUGUGACGCCAGUCGCAUCGCCGGGUAGCUAUGUUCGGAAGGGAUAACCGCUGAAAGCAUCUAAGCGGGAAGCCUACCUCAAGAUAAGAUUUCCCUAGGACUUUAUGUCCUCUAAAGAGCCGUUCGAGACUAGGACGUUGAUAGGUUGGAUGUGGAAGCAUAGUGAUAUGUGAAGCUGACCAAUACUAAUUGCUCGUGAGGCUUGACU
Molecule: ribosomal RNA, 2290 nt
Filed under: Acinetobacter baumannii OIFC047
Lineage: Bacteria; Pseudomonadati; Pseudomonadota; Gammaproteobacteria; Moraxellales; Moraxellaceae
Description: bacterial LSU rRNA
Rfam family: Bacterial large subunit ribosomal RNA
Source: RNAcentral